RNAcentral lists this ribosomal RNA (723 nucleotides) under uncultured fungus. RNAcentral's name for it is "SSU rRNA". It matches the Rfam family "Eukaryotic small subunit ribosomal RNA", at positions 332 to 1060 of the family's 1831-position model. The record is from RNAcentral. Lineage: Eukaryota; Fungi.
GAUAGAGGCCUACCAUGGUGGUAACGGGUAACGGGGUGUUAGGGCACGACACCGGAGAGGGAGCCUGAGAAACGGCUACCACAUCCAAGGAUGGCAGCAGGCGCGCAAAUUACCCAAUCCCGACACGGGGAGGUAGUGACAAUAAAUAACAAUACGGGGUUCUUUAGGAUCUCGUAAUUGGAAUGAGUACAAUUUAAAUCUCUUAACGAGGAACAAUUGGAGGGCAAGUCUGGUGCCAGCAGCCGCGGUAAUUCCAGCUCCAAUAGCGUAUAUUAAAGUUGUUGCAGUUAAAAAGCUCGUAGUUGAAUUUCGGGGUUAGUAGGUUGGUCAUGCCUCUGGUAUGUACUGGUCUCACUGAUUCCUCCUUCCUUAUGAACCGUAAUGCCAUUAAUUUGGUGUUGCGGGGAAUUUGGACUGUUACUUUGAAAAAAUUAGAGUGUUUAAAGCAAGCUAACGCUUGAAUACAUUAGCAUGGAAUAAUGAAAUAGGACGUUCGAUCUUAUUUUGUUGGUUUCCAGGAUUGACGUAAUGAUUAAUAGGGAUAGUUGGGGCAUUAGUAUUCAAUUGUCAGAGGUGAAAUUCUUGGAUUUAUUGAAGACUAACUACUGCGAAAGCAUUUGCCAAGGAUGUUUUCAUUAAUCAAGAACGAAAGUUAGGGGAUCGAAGACGAUCAGAUACCGUCGUAGUCUUAACCAUAAACUAUGCCGACUAGGGAUCGGAUGA